UCCUGGCUCAGGAUGAACGCUGGCGGCAGGCUUAAUACAUGCAAGUCGAACGGUAACGACCGGUAGCAAGUACUGGGGCGACGAGUGGCGCACGGGUGCGUAACGCGUAUGCAACCUGCCUUCAACCGGGACAUAACGUUGAGAAAUCGGCGCUAAUAUCCCAUGUGUAUGUGAGGCGGCAUCGUCUUACAUAUAAAGAUUCAUUGGUUGAGGAUGGGCAUGCGUAACAUUAGCUGGUUGGCGGGUAACGGCCCACCAAGGCGACGAUGUUUAGGGGUUCUGAGAGGAUUCACCCCCACACUGGAACUGAGACACGGUCCAGACUCCUACGGGAGGCAGCAGUAGGGAAUAUUGGGCAAUGGAGGCAACUCUGACCCAGCCAUGCCGCGUGAAGGAAGACGGCCCUAUGGGUUGUAAACUUCUUUUGCCGCAGAGUAACCGCGGGGACGAGUCCCUGCCUGAGAGUAUGCGGCGAAUAAGUAUCGGCUAACUCCGUGCC
This 499-nucleotide ribosomal RNA is filed under the name uncultured bacterium. Its description in RNAcentral is "bacterial SSU rRNA". It matches the Rfam family "Bacterial small subunit ribosomal RNA", at positions 17 to 509 of the family's 1533-position model. The record is from RNAcentral.